CACAAUCGUUUAUCAAUAAAAUUAUUAUUUCUUCAUAUUUUUAUUUGUGGUUGAAAUUUAUUUGCCAUAAAUUUAAAUUAUGUUGGAAACAAUAAAACCCUUCUUCAUGAUAGAAUAGAUCUGGAAAUUAAACACUAUUCCAGGUACAUGUCAAGUAACUCUUCAGAAAAGAAAACUAAGAGCUUUCUCCAUUGUAUAUAGUAUCAAAGCAUUAUUCUACUCCCGAGUAUAUUCCAUAAUAUCCUCCUUAUCUAAAGUCACCUGAGUUUUCCCUUCAAUUAUCACUAGAGCCACAUAUGUAAGAGUCAUACCAUUAGCAGUAAUCCAAUUCGGCAAAAAUAACCCAGCCCAAUUUACAUCAUCUCUUUUUUGUUCCCCUGCUUCUGGUUUAAUUGGGGAUUUUUCCUUGUUUGAACUGGGAUUCAGCUUUUGUUGUAGUCCAAUUGAGAUCGAACAUCCUUCCUUUUGAACUACAGGUGUUAUACUUCCUUCCCCUUCAAUUAUUGUCUUGCUAAAUCUGUGGGUAAACUUGUAUUGUCUUGUUGCAUAACCUCUAUUUCAGUACUUUCUACCAGAGAUUCUUGUGUCAUUUUCCAUUCCAAAGAGUGCGCUUCUUCACAAGUCUGUUCUAUAAUCUUCUGAGCUUCUCCCUCAUCCUUGUAUGGUCGAACCCGGCUUCGUUUUACCAUGGAUGUGCAUGUUAUCAAAGCGAGCUAGACAUGCACAAGAGAGAGAAUACAAGAGGGUUGUCAGAUUGUGUGAUAAACUUUUAACCAAUGGGGAUACUUCAUGCCGUUGGAUCAAUGUGUCAUGGGUCAUUUUAUUUUGCUAACUAAGACUUAUUGAGAAAAAAUUACAGUAUAUGAGUUAAGGAUGUUGCUAACUAAGACUUAUUGAGAAAAAAUUACAGUAUAUGAGUUAAGGAUGUUGCUAACUAAGACUUAUUGAGAAAAAAUUACAGUAUAUGAGUUAAGGAUGUUGAAGGGACUGUGUAUU
This 996-nucleotide long non-coding RNA is filed under the name Capsicum annuum. RNAcentral describes it as "long non-coding RNA (CANN_LNC018847)". The record is from RNAcentral. Lineage: Eukaryota; Viridiplantae; Streptophyta; Magnoliopsida; Solanales; Solanaceae.